ACCAGAGAGAGGGUGGAAGGUUAAACUGCUGGAAGAGGACUGUGGCUAAAUAAAGGUGCUGCGUGAGUGAGGCCUUAUUGGGGCAAACUGAACAAGGACCAACUGUGCUCUACCUGCAUCUCUGCUUCCUCGUUGAUUUACAGAAUGAGAUUUCCACAAAUUCUCAAGCAAAUGCAACUCACUCAAGUGUUCUAGAUCAAAGAAGCUCAGGAAGACGUGUUUCAAGUUUCUGACAUAAAAAAUAUAAAUUUUCAGAAAAGCCCUGGUAAGUUUCUAAUUAUUCGUUUAUUUAAGCAACUCUCAUUAAAAGCUGUCU
RNAcentral lists this long non-coding RNA (316 nucleotides) under Ictidomys tridecemlineatus (thirteen-lined ground squirrel). RNAcentral's name for it is "lncRNA (ENSSTOG00000030870.1)". The record is from RNAcentral. Lineage: Eukaryota; Metazoa; Chordata; Mammalia; Rodentia; Sciuridae.